Molecule: ribosomal RNA, 138 nt
Filed under: uncultured eukaryote
Lineage: Eukaryota
Description: partial 18S ribosomal RNA
Rfam family: Eukaryotic small subunit ribosomal RNA
Source: RNAcentral
UGGUGGAGCGAUUUGUCUGGUUAAUUCCGAUAACGAAUGAGACUCUAGCCUAUUAAAUAGUUCACCGGUGCACGAAGGCCGGUGCCAACUUCUUAGAGGGACAAGUGGCGCUUAGCCACACGAGAUUGAGCAAUAACA